Molecule: small RNA, 386 nt
Filed under: Pseudidiomarina piscicola
Lineage: Bacteria; Pseudomonadati; Pseudomonadota; Gammaproteobacteria; Alteromonadales; Idiomarinaceae
Description: Idiomarina sp. CECT 9734 cspA
Source: RNAcentral
UGUGGCCUGUUACGAAGUCUAUUGUUGUACCUCGUUUUGUAAGUCCCAAGUAUUACACGUAUUUUUAUUAGCAAGACCCUAGAUUUUCACAUGCACUACGAGGAUAUCAGCAUGUCAACAGUAACUGGUAAAGUAAAAUUCUUUAACGAAGCUAAAGGUUUCGGUUUCAUCGAGCAAGAACAAGGCGCAGACGUAUUCGUACAUUUCAGCGCGAUCCAAUCAGACGGUUUCAAAACCUUAGCUGAAGGUCAAACUGUUCAGUUUACUAUCGCUCAAGGCCCUAAAGGUCCACAAGCUGAAAACGUUGUACCUAUGUAAUUAGUUGCUCAGGCAACGUUUACUAGCUAAACGAAUUCCAAAAAGCCGCACUUAGUGCGGCUUUUUUU